RNAcentral lists this ribosomal RNA (1440 nucleotides) under uncultured soil eukaryote. RNAcentral's name for it is "partial small subunit ribosomal RNA". It matches the Rfam family "Eukaryotic small subunit ribosomal RNA", at positions 523 to 1809 of the family's 1831-position model. The record is from RNAcentral.
AUUUAAAACCAUUAACGAGGAACUAUUGGAGGGCAAGUCUGGUGCCAGCAUCCGCGGUAAUUCCAGCUCCAAGAGCGUAUUUGAAAAUUGUUGCUGUUAAAACGCCCGUAGUUGAAUGUAGAUAAGGUUCUUUCACUAUUGAGUGUAAAAAGCUCAGUGGAUUAUGUAAGAAAAUGUCAAAAUUUUAGAUAAAUGACAUUAACGAAAAUAUGAUCUUCUCGGAUCAAAAGAUAGUUUUUGUUUGCAGACAAAAAGUGAGUUAGAAUUGAUUAAUAAGGCGAACCCUUAUUAAGAGAAAUGAAUUAGGCUAGUGUUUGUCCUUAACUGUAAAAGGUUAAGGUUUGUUUAGAUAGGAUUCGCUUUGAAUAAAUUAGAGUGCUCAGAGCAAGCGAUUAUCGCUUGAAUAUAUUAGCAUGGUACGACGAAAUUUGAUAAAUCUGAAUUUUUGGUACAACUACAGUAACGAGCUUAAUUUUGAGAUGGAUAAUAGGAGUGUUAAAGCUUUUAUUAUUCGUGAAGUCUCUUUAUUAAGAAACGAUUGUAGCGAGUGCAGAUUUAUAAUGAUUAAAAGGGGCAAAUGGGGUAAUUCAUAUUGACUGGGUAGAGGUGAAAUUCUAUGAUCCAGUCAAGAUGCACUAAUGCGAAAGCAUUUUACCAAAAUGUUUUCUUUAAUCAAGGACGAAGGUUGUGGGCGCGAAGAUGAUUAGAUACCGUUGUAGUCACAACAGUAAACGAUGUUGAUUUAGGAUUGUGAAAAGUUAAUAUUAUGACUUUUACAGCACUAUGUGAGAAAUCAAAAUAUUUAAACUCAGGGGGAAGUAUGGACGCAAGUCUGAAACUUAAAAGAAUUGACGGAAGAGCACCACCAGGCGUGGAAUCUGCGGCUUAAUUUGACCCAACACGGGGAAACUUACCAGGUUAGGAUUUAAAAAGGAUUGACAGACUGAUCGCUCUUUCAUGAUAUUAAAGAUAGUGGUGCAUGGCCGUUUUUAGUUGAUAAAAAACUUCUUAAAGAUACUCUUUACGUUAUAGUAAAUGGAAGAGAGACAAUAACAGGUCUGUUAUGCCCUUCGAUAUCCUGGGCUGCACGCGCGUUACAAUGAAAUAUUCAAUGAGUUAAUCGAAUCCAAAAGGAUUGAGGAAAUCUUAUAACCCAUUUCGUGAUGGGGAUUGUGUUUUGCAAUUAUCGCACAUGAACGAGGAAUGCCUUGUAUUGGCUUGUCAUCAACAAGCUAAGAAUAAGUCCCUGCUCUUUGUACACACCGCCCGUCGCUCCUACAGAAGAGUAGUAAGAUGAGGACUGUGGACUUUUGACAUUGAAGGAAAUAAUCAGUUCUAAACUGAUCCUGAUUGUUACAGUGGAAACAUUGUAAUCUUAGAGAAAUUUGUUCGAAUCUUUUUACUUUGAUGAAGGAGAAGUCGUAACAAGGUCCUCGUAGG